GAAACCAACAGGGAUUGCCUUAGUAACGGCGAGUGAAGCGGCAAUAGCUCAAAUUUGAAAUCUGGCGCUUGGGUCCGAGUUGUAAUUUGUAGAGGAUGAUUUUGGUUAGGUACCUUUCGAGUUCCUUGGAACAGGACGCCUUAGAGGGUGAGAGCCCCGUACGAUUGGAUGCCGAGCCUCUGUAAAUCUCCUUCGACGAGUCGAGUAGUUUGGGAAUGCUGCUCUAAAUGGGAGGUAAAUUUCUUCUAAAGCUAAAUACCGGCCAGAGACCGAUAGCGCACAAGUAGAGUGAUCGAAAGAUGAAAAGCACUUUGAAAAGAGGGUUAAAUAGCACGUGAAAUUGUUGAAAGGGAAGGAUUUAUGACCAGACUUUUUCUAGGAGGAUCAUCCGGUGUUCUCACCGGUGCACUUCUUCUAGUUUAGGCCAGCAUCGACUUUCGGCGGCGGAUAAAAGCUUUAGGAAUGUGGCUCCUCUCGGGGAGUGUUAUAGCCUAUUGUAUAAUACGCUGCUGGGGGUCGAGGUACGCGCUUCUGCAAGGAUGCUGGCGUAAUGGUUAUCAAUGACCCGUCUUGAAACACGGACCAAGGAGUCGAACAUUUAUGCGAGUGUUUGGGUGUUAAACCCUCACGCGUAAUGAAAGUGAACGGAGGUGAGAGCCCUUACGGGUGCAUCAUCGACCGAUCCUGAAGUUUUCGGAUGGAUUUGAGUAAGAGCAUAACUGUUCGGACCCGAAAGAUGGUGAACUAUGCGUGGAUAGGGUGAAGCCAGAGGAAACUCUGGUGGAGGCUCGCAGCGGUUCUGACGUGCAAAUCGAUCGUCAAAUCUGCGCAUGGGGGCGAAAGACUAAUCGAACCAUCUAGUAGCUGGUUACCG
Molecule: ribosomal RNA, 874 nt
Filed under: Truncatella sp. HKUCC 7987
Lineage: Eukaryota; Fungi; Ascomycota; Sordariomycetes; Amphisphaeriales; Sporocadaceae
Description: LSU rRNA
Rfam family: Eukaryotic large subunit ribosomal RNA
Source: RNAcentral